AAUAGUAAAAGGACUUAUGGCGGCGUAGGUAAAUCUAGUACUAGGAAGGUUCGUGUCACAUCUGUCACGCAUUCUCCUUAAGCCCCUUCACGUAUUUUUCCAACUACAUAUACCCUCCAAAUCUAUCCACAUCCUAUGUCAUUCUCAUUCUUACACAAUAAUUACACAAUUCUCACAACACAAAAAUUUCUUCUUCCUCAAUAAUAAUAUUAACCCAUUCGUUGCCCUUUCAUAACAUCAUUUCACACUCCCUCAAAACUAAACUCUGCUUAUUUUUUCACACUAAGUAGUAACAAUAGAAUGUGUGGCGGUGCUAUCAUCGCUGACUUCAUUCCUCGCNNNNNNNNNNCGCCGCUGAACUCUGGCCUAACUCAUUCGGUCAACAAAUUGACUCCACUUCCUCAGACUUUGAUUUUUCUCAUACUGUUGAUCAACAACCACCACCACCACCCACUACUCUCAAAAGAUCACACCCUCUCAAAGGUCAGUAGUUAGUUACUCUUUUAUGUUUUCAUACAUUUAUUUCAUAAAAUUAUACAUUUUUUCUGAUUGAGGCAUUUCAUCGAACAG
This 570-nucleotide long non-coding RNA is filed under the name Trifolium pratense (red clover). RNAcentral's name for it is "long non-coding RNA (TPRA_LNC011917)". Lineage: Eukaryota; Viridiplantae; Streptophyta; Magnoliopsida; Fabales; Fabaceae. The record is from RNAcentral.